This is a long non-coding RNA of Panicum virgatum (switchgrass), 467 nucleotides long. RefSeq lists it as uncharacterized. The transcript has 2 exons. Lineage: Eukaryota; Viridiplantae; Streptophyta; Magnoliopsida; Poales; Poaceae. The record is from RefSeq and is a predicted model, not a curated record.
UCCAACUGACAGCUGGGCCUCAUCUGUCAUUCUCGCACUCCCAACGAAGCGCUUGCCUUCGCCGACCUCCACUCCAAGCUCUCCGCCCGGUCGUGCCCGGCCGACCUCUGGCCGCUACUCUACCUGCUCGACUCGCUCUCCUCCCAUCGCCGCGCCGCCGCCGCUGUGACUGCUCGCCGACCUACAUCUCAAGCUCCGCCCUCUCUUCCGCUUCGACUUCGCCUCGUGAGGCGGCUCCAGGUUUGCUCUUAUGAUUGUAGACGGUGCCACAGCAAGGCAAAUGCUAAGUUCUUGAGGAGCCUCCAGAAGGUGUAGCAGACGUCAAGGAUUGAGAUGAAUAGAUCAUCUGUCUCAGCUUACUGCAGAGCAUGUUUUUCUUCUACUUUGUCUGUAAUUUGUAUAAAGCAACAACAGAAUACAAAUAUAUGACUUGAGAUGAAUAGAUCAUCUGUCUCAGCUUGUGAAUC